Molecule: ribosomal RNA, 253 nt
Filed under: uncultured bacterium
Lineage: Bacteria
Description: partial 16S ribosomal RNA
Rfam family: Bacterial small subunit ribosomal RNA
Source: RNAcentral
UACGUAGGGUGCGAGCGUUAAUCGGAAUUACUGGGCGUAAAGCGUGCGCAGGCGGUUCGUUAAGUUCGUUGUGAAAGCCCCGGGCUCAACCUGGGAACUGCAAUGGAAACUGGCGGGCUUGAGUGUGGCAGAGGGGGGUGGAAUUCCGCGUGUAGCAGUGAAAUGCGUAGAGAUGGGGGAGAACACUCGUGGCGAAGGCGGCCAGCUAGACCAGUUCUGACACUGAGGCGCGAUAGCGUGGGGAGCAAACAGG